This 445-nucleotide ribosomal RNA is filed under the name uncultured bacterium. RNAcentral's name for it is "bacterial SSU rRNA". It matches the Rfam family "Bacterial small subunit ribosomal RNA", at positions 330 to 793 of the family's 1533-position model. The record is from RNAcentral.
CCCAGACUCCUACGGGAGGCAGCAGUGGGGAAUAUUGCACAAUGGGGGAAACCCUGAUGCAGCGACGCCGCGUGAAGGAAGAAGUAUUUCGGUAUGUAAACUUCUCUCAGCAGGGAAGAAAAUGACGGUACCUGACUAAGAAGCCCCGGCUAACUACGUGCCAGCAGCCGCGGUAAUACGUAGGGGCAAGCGUUAUCCGGAUUUACUGGGUGUAAAGGGAGCGUAGGCGGUUUAGCAAGUCAGAAGUGAAAGCCCGGGGCCCAACCCCGGGACUGCUCUGGAAACUGCGUCGCUGGAGUACGGGAGGGGCAGGCGGAAUUCCUGGUGUAGCGGUGAAAUGCGUAGAUAUCAGGAGGAACACCGGCGGCGAAGGCGGCCUGCUGGACCGUGACUGACGUUGAGGCUCGAGAGCGUGGGGAGCAAACAGGAUUAGAUACCCCCGUAC